UACGUAGGGGGCAAGCGUUAUCCGGAUUUACUGGGUGUAAAGGGAGCGUAGACGGCUUUGCAAGCCAGAUGUGAAAGCCCGGGGCUCAACCCCGGGACUGCAUUUGGAACUGUGUGGCUAGAGUGUCGGAGAGGCAGGCGGAAUUCCUAGUGUAGCGGUGAAAUGCGUAGAUAUUAGGAGGAACACCAGUGGCGAAGGCGGCCUGCUGGACGAUGACUGACGUUGAGGCUCGAAAGCGUGGGGAGCAAACAGG
This 253-nucleotide ribosomal RNA is filed under the name uncultured bacterium. RNAcentral describes it as "partial 16S ribosomal RNA". It matches the Rfam family "Bacterial small subunit ribosomal RNA", at positions 524 to 776 of the family's 1533-position model. The record is from RNAcentral.